UAAUUCCUGGGAUGUUCGAUAACUCUUACUUUUUUUGAACCUACAUUUGACAUAACGGGAUUCCAAUAUUUUUAAACGGAUGUCAGGCCUCCUUGAGUGGAAGGCAGAUGUUUAAGUGAGGUUGCCCACCUGGCGCGGCUAGGAGUCAAUUUGGUAAGAGCCGGCAUUUUGGGGUUACU
Non-coding RNA from Clostridium sp. CAG:299, 179 nucleotides. It matches the Rfam family "6S / SsrS RNA". From Rfam's summary of the family: E. coli 6S RNA was the first non coding RNA to be sequenced, but its function was unknown until recently. It consists of 184 nucleotides that fold into an extended hairpin structure with a large single-stranded internal bulge. The 6S RNA specifically associates with RNA polymerase holoenzyme containing the sigma70 specificity factor. The record is from Rfam. Lineage: Bacteria; Bacillati; Bacillota; Clostridia; Eubacteriales; Clostridiaceae.